CAAUAGCGUAUAUUAAAGUUGUUGCAGUUAAAAAGCUCGUAGUUGGACCUUAGGCAAGGCGGCCUGGUCACCCUCUGGGUGUACUGGGAUCGCUGCGCCUCACCUUCGGGGAGCUAGUCGUGCUUCGGUGCGCUAGGGAACCGAGCCUUACCUUGAGGAAAUUAGAGUGUUUAAAGCAGGCUUAUGCUUGAAUACGUUUGCAUGGAAUAACAUGAUAGGACUUUGGUUCUAUUUUGUUGGUUUGAGGACCAAAGUAAUGAUUAAUAGGGACAGUUGGGGGCAUUAGUAUUCAAUAGUCAGAGGUGAAAUUCUUGGAUUUAUUGAAGACUAACUAAUGCGAAAGCAUUUGCCAAGGAUGUUUUCAUUGA
This 368-nucleotide ribosomal RNA is filed under the name uncultured eukaryote. RNAcentral's name for it is "partial 18S ribosomal RNA". It matches the Rfam family "Eukaryotic small subunit ribosomal RNA", at positions 592 to 976 of the family's 1831-position model. The record is from RNAcentral.